AUGAAACAACUUUCAAGAAAAGAAAAACCAAAAAGGAUGACACAGACAGUGAAGUGCGACUACAAAGUCCUGAGAACUGACCCAGCCUGGGGCCGCGCGGACUCUCUCCUCUGGCUGGCCAUUCUUUGUAGAGACGUGCAAGUUCAGGACGGGCUCUUCUCUCCAGGGCUACACACGCAGUCACUUAAGAAAGCUGCGGGCCACGCCGACUUGGCAGCUCCUGCUCUGCCAGUAUUAUUGUUCAUCAUCUUCCCGUGUCUUCUGAGGUGUUUAGGACACCGGCAGAAAAUACCAAGGAAACCAGAUUGCCGUCUCUGCCCAGUCACGAAGACAAAUAAGAGACGGCUGGCCACAGCUUCUCUUUUACACCUCCUUCUUGUUGAGAUGCCCGUUGCCAGUGGACGCGACACUGACCAUUCAUCUCCUACAGCGGAGCCAAGUGUUUGCCGCUGAGGCAGCAGAAACUGAUGACUGGUCUACAAUCCUCCGCCAUGUUGGACAGUGCAAGGCAGCAAAGGCGCCCAGUCAUGCUCAGGGGGAUUCUAACUUCAGUGUGCCGAGAAGUAAAGCUAAGGAGGAAGGCUGGUCCCUAAGGAAAAUGCAGUCCAGCGGGAGAAAGUGGAGGAGCGUGUCUAAAGUCCUGUUGCUCCCCUGUGUGGCUAAGGUCUCACGUGAACCGAUGAAAAGCACCAUUUCCCAUAAAUUAUAAAGUGAUGUAGGUUCAGCAAAGCACAUUUCAAAAUGUUUACCGAAGGGACGGCCUGCUACAUACUCAAUGAGGGCCUUGCCUCUCCUGCUGUUUUAAAUGACUUUCCCCAGCCCAAAGACAAAGAAGAAAAUGAAGAAAAUUGGCUUCCUUUUUAAGAAGCCAAGAUCUGAACCCAACAGAGUUUCUUCUACCUUAUGAAGUUCUCUCCAAAGGGAUUUGGGAUCUGGGGUCAAUCGGAAGUUUUCUCCUGGGCGGGAAAUUAAACCGUAACUCCUCUUGGUACUUAUAAGUCCUUGUUGCCCCCUGGAAGAAUGACUUCACCCUCUCCCUUUCUUCCCAGCCCCUCACUCCCCACCAAUCCCUUAGACAGGACCCAAACCCACACCCACAUCCACAGAGUAAGUUAAUAAUUGAGACAUUCCAAAGAUAAUGAAAAAUUUCCCGACUUUGCAAAGCUGAGUCCCUACCAAAAAUCCUGGUGCAUGUGGGAUUAGGGAUCUGAAGUUGACUGAAAGUUACCUCAUCAGCCUCAACUGGGUGAAAACCCUUCCCUGAAUCCUUUAUUGAAUAAAACCAUCCGGCUGGGAUCCA
RNAcentral lists this long non-coding RNA (1300 nucleotides) under Monodelphis domestica (gray short-tailed opossum). Its description in RNAcentral is "lncRNA (ENSMODG00000041306.1)". Lineage: Eukaryota; Metazoa; Chordata; Mammalia; Didelphimorphia; Didelphidae. The record is from RNAcentral.